This 442-nucleotide ribosomal RNA is filed under the name uncultured bacterium. RNAcentral's name for it is "partial 16S ribosomal RNA". It matches the Rfam family "Bacterial small subunit ribosomal RNA", at positions 338 to 795 of the family's 1533-position model. The record is from RNAcentral.
CCUACGGGAGGCAGCAGUGGGGGAUAUUGGAGAAUGGGGGAAACCCUGAUCCAGCGACGCAGCGUGAGUGAAGAAGUAUUUCGGUAUGUAAAGCUCUAUCAGCAGGGAAGAAAGAAAUGACGGUACCUGAGUAAGAAGCCUCGGCUAACUACGUGCCAGCAGCCGCGGUAAUACGUAGGGGGCAAGCGUUAUCCGGAAUUACUGGGUUUACAGGGUGCGUAGGCGGAAUAUCAAGUCAGCGGUAAAAAUUCGGGGCUCAACCCCGUCGUGCCGUUGAAACUGAUGUUCGUGAGUGGGCGAGAAGUAUGCGGAAUGCGUGGUGUAGCGGUGAAAUGCAUAGAUAUCACGCAGAACUCCGAUUGCGAAGGCAGCAUACCGGCGCCCAACUGACGCUGAAGCACGAAAGCGUGGGUAUCGAACAGGAUUAGAUACCCCAGUAGUC